This 270-nucleotide ribosomal RNA is filed under the name uncultured archaeon. RNAcentral's name for it is "partial 16S ribosomal RNA". It matches the Rfam family "Archaeal small subunit ribosomal RNA", at positions 477 to 747 of the family's 1478-position model. The record is from RNAcentral.
CGGCGCUCCAAGUGGUAAUCAUGUUUAUUGGGCCUAAAGCAUCCGUAGCCGGCGCUGUAAGUUUUCGGUUAAAUCUGUACGCUCAACGUACAGGCUGCCGGGAAUACUGCAGCGCUAGGGAGUGGGAGAGGUAGACGGUACUCGGUAGGAAGGGGUAAAAUCCUUUGAUCUAUUGAUGACCACCUGUGGCGAAGGCGGUCUACCAGAACACGUCCGACGGUGAGGGAUGAAAGCUGGGGGAGCAAACCGGAUUAGAUACCCGAGUAGUCC